CGCGGUGGAAUUGGACUCACUUUUUUCGGACUUACCUCAGUUGGGAAUUAGCUGCAACCUUCAACAUGCCGUCCAAGCCUGCCCCCAUCAAGAAGGCGGCCAAGAAAGAACCGGCCAAGAAGGAGGAGAAGGCUCCAGAGCCAGCGCCCGCACCGGAGCCCGCACCGGAGCCCGCUCCCGCAGAGGCAGCCCCCGCAGAGGCAGCACCCGCAGAGGCGGCCCCAGCCCCCGCUGAGGGCGAGGCCGCACCUGCCGAGGAGGCCCCCGCGGCCCCGCCAGCUGAGGAGCCCAAACCCCCCACCCCUCCACCCGCUGAUGAGCCCACCAGCGUUCCAGUUGAGCUGUUUAUCGAGGACAAGAAUGACACGUCUGUGACCAUCAUCUGGAGCCAGCCGGAGAACGUCGGGCCGUCUGGCCUGGACGGAUACAACAUUGAAGUCUGCAAGGAUGGAACCGAGGACUGGAAAGCUGUCAACGAGGACUUGCAUAAGUCCUGCCGCUACGUCAUCAAGAACCAGAUCACCGGUGACCGCCUGAAGAUCCGCGUGGUGGCCCUGAACGCCGGCGGCCGCAGCCCCCCCUGCGCCCUGCCCGAGGCCAUCCUGGUGAAGGAGGUCGCUGAUCGCCCCAAGGUUCGUCUGCCUCGUUUCCUCAAGCAGAGAUACGUCACCCAAGUCGGAAACAAGGUCAACCUGACAGUCCCCUUCACAGGUAAACCCAAACCUGUGGUCACCUGGACAAAGGACGGACAGCCCCUGGACGCCAAGAGGGUGAACGUCCGCACCAGCGACAGAGACAGCAUCCUGUUCAUCCGCACGACCGAGAGAGACGACUCCGGCAUCUACGAGAUGUGCGUGAAGGUGGACGACUUCGAGGACAAGGCGUCGCUCAUCCUUCAGAUUGUCGAGCUGCCAGGACCUCCCGCCACCUUGAAGAUUAUUGAUACCUGGGGCUUCAACGCGGCCCUGGAGUGGACUCCACCUAAAGACAGUGGAAACACAGAUAUUAAAGGCUACAUGGUGCAGAAGGCCGACAAGAAGACUGGAGACUGGUUCACUGUGCUGGAACAUUACCACAGACUGAAUGCCACCAUCUCUGACCUCAUCAUGGGCAACACCUACAAGUUCAGAGUGUUUUCAGAAAACAAGUGUGGACUGAGCGAUAACGCUGCCCUUACAAAGGGGGAGGCCGUCAUCCUGAAGACAGGUAUCGACUACAAACCUCCCAACUACCAGGAGCACGACUUCACCGAGGCUCCCAAGUUCACCACGGCCCUGAGCGACAGAGCCACCACCGUGGGCUACAGCACCAAGCUGCUCUGCUCCGUCAGGGGAGAACCAAAGCCCAAGGUUCAAUGGAUGAAGAACCAGAUGAUUAUUGGAGAUGACCCUAAGUUCAGGCAGAUCUGCGUCCAGGGCAUCUGCUCUCUGGAGAUCCGCAAGCCCGGUAACUUUGACGGUGGCGUGUACAGCUGCAAAGCCAAGAACGAACACGGAGAGGCGACUGUCUGCUGCAAACUGGAGGUCAAACAGGCAGCGGUUGUGGAUGCACAGAAGAAAUAGGUCAACGUUCUCAUCAUUACAGGAGCAGAAGGAAUGAGGCCUUUGCAGCAUAAGGACGGUGCUGGAUUCCUGGCAGAACAUGUAUAUAUGGCUGGUGACCACGCUCCAUGAGGGUUGUUGCCUGUGACCUCUUGACAAGUGUUGCCCGAUGUUUGUUGUCGCUUUGUGCCUUUUCACUUUAUCAAGUCCACAUCCAUGUCCACUAUCAGCUCCCCCCCCCCUGGUUUCCCACCCCGUCAGUGCAACGAGGCGAGAGUAUCACAGCAUGAAUUCACUGUUCCUCAUUGGAGAUCUACAUAUAACAUCGACAUGUUUUUAUCAAUAAAUAAUUUAAUUUCUGG
RNA transcript from Hippoglossus stenolepis (Pacific halibut), 1903 nucleotides. It is a transcript of the gene named myosin binding protein Hb, with no coding region annotated. The transcript has 12 exons. The record is from RefSeq and is a predicted model, not a curated record. NCBI's taxonomy places the organism in Eukaryota, Metazoa, Chordata, Actinopteri, Pleuronectiformes, Pleuronectidae.